GGGACACAUACUUUCCCUGGAUUCUCCGUUACAAAACUCCCAGCUCUGUGAGGCCAGGGGGGACUGAACCCCAUCAGCCACCUCCGCUCCCCUGUGGUUCAGUCCUGGAGGCUGGGGUGCCUCUGUCACUGCGGCUGGAGCCUCUCGGGUUCCCAACGCCCCUGGGCACUUUACCCACCCACGACCAAGUACCUGAGGCCCACUUACAGGGCGGGGUUCCAUCCUGGCUCUGUCACUUACUAACAGAUGGCCCCGGGCAAGUCACUUAACUUCUCUGUUCCCAGGGGAGGGCCAGGAGGAGGGCUGGGACUGGGAGACAUGGCGCACACCUGCAGAGAGCCCGACUACACAGGGUGCGCCACCCACCCUGCCCAUGGGUGGCCUGGGCUCUGGGUUCUCUGUCCGCAGUGAACUCUUGGGGUGCUGUGAGACACCAGAGUGAAGGAACUUGGGGCUCUGAUGUCGGAGAGUGGAGCCCUGGUGGGAAAACACAAAGCGGGUGGUCCAGGCGGCAGAGUCUGGCCACCUGGAUCCGCCUUCUGUGGAGCGGGGGAGCUCGUCCACGGCCCUCUCUAGGACGCACUGUUCUUUUCAGAGGGAGAGCCGAGCAGGCGGGCGGCCCACGUGACGGCUCUUGACGCUUCUCCUUUGAACAGCCUGCUGUGCCUCCUGCUCCCAAUCCACUGGCUGACGCCAGCCACGUGGCCAAGCCUGAUGUGUGGGGAGAAGCGCACCCCCAGCCCAGGCCCCGUGUGUCACGUGGCUAUAGGACAGCCAUGGAUAAUUCUCCCUGGGAGGACAGCAGAUAAUUGGGAACAAUGACCCAUCGACUGCCGUCCGCCAUCUUGGUCGCAGAUAGGUGGACCUGUCUGUUGCACAGGUGCCCUGGGUUACAGAUGGCUGCAAACUGUCUCUCCUCCCUUCAAAACACCGGGCUCUUCCCCCUCCCUUUACCGGCUCUGAAGAACAGGAACGUAGCUGAGCCUCAGAUGUCAGGCCUCUGCUUUCCCCUACCCAGCCUCCAUGAGGAACCCCGCCAUGUUGGGAGGAAGCCCAGGGGAGCCGAUGGAACAGGAGGCCUGAGGGGAGCACCAAGGUGCUGGACCGUGAAGCUCACCUGCGUGGACCUUCAGCCCGGCCCCCUGCUAACAAACAACCCCACAGAUGACUGCAGCCCUCGCUUCUCUUGAUGGGAAACCUGUAAAUGGGAGAGGGGGAGAGAGUUUUCUGGUCUCGACACUGUUCGGGCUGAUCUGUGCCCCACUCGGGGGUCGAAGCCCUCACCCUGAGGACCUUGAGGAGGUCGCUGAAUUAAAACGAGGCAGCUGGGGGUGGGUCCUAGUGCAGUGGUGUCCUAAUAAGGAGAAAAGACGGGACUGUGAACAUGCAGUGAGGUGGCCUCCGCAGGCCAAGCAGGGACUUGUAGAGGCCAACCCUGCGGAGCCUGGUCUUGGGCUUCCAGCCUCUAGAACUGUGAGGAGUUCCAGCCGCAGUCUGUGGGGUUUUGAUGCCACUGGUGGGUGGGGCGCAGGGGAGGGCCGCCCACCCUGGCAAAGGGAGGGCUCUGGAGUGAGGUCCACAGCUCUCGGAAUUGCUCCCAGCCGCCCUCUGUGCUCCGUGGCUCUUGGGCCAUCCUACCUCCUUGGCCACAUUGGACGGGGAGCCUGAGAACAGGCCCUGGGGGCGGUGACUGGCUUUCUGGGUGUGCCUUCUGCCUGAGCCCAGGGUGGUUUGAGGUGUCGACUGUCGCAGGACAUUUGAGUCCCAUGGUAGCUUUUGGCACGUGCAACCCUCCAACUGAGGUAACCCCAGAACCUCGCUUCUCAUCUGCUUGUUUCCAGCCGGCGUUUGACAGUAAAGAAGUGCCUGGGUUUUCUGGAGAUGCAGCCCUGGACCUGACCUUGGCCCUGCAGCUUGUUGGUACUCCACCAUUGCGCCAGCCCCCAGCCCCACGGGGCGGUUAACAGAGGGUGUGAGAGUCACAGCCCUGACCCGGCCUUCACCCUGCGAUCCAGUCCUAACUGAGUGUGUCCUAGUUUUAGUAUUUCCCCUUAAUCUAGAAUAUUCCUUAUGGGCUAUCCAUGGAUUAUCUGUUUUGAAGAGUCUUUACACUAAGUUUAAAAUUCACCAUUAGGCUUCUCCCCAGUGUGUUUCCGAGGACAUAGACAAAGUUAAAUUUAAAACUCUCAUCCACUCCAAGAUCACAUCCUGUGUUCCAAGCGCAAAUAUGUCAGAAGUUUUGCUAAAAUGUCAUUUGUAACUUGCACUUUGCAGAAGCAACCAAGUGCCAAAGGGGCAGGGGAGGUGCUGGUCUGGCAGAGAGGUUUCUGC
RNAcentral lists this long non-coding RNA (2331 nucleotides) under Marmota monax (woodchuck). Lineage: Eukaryota; Metazoa; Chordata; Mammalia; Rodentia; Sciuridae. The record is from RNAcentral.